AUUUUGAAUUUAAAGAAAACAUAACCUUCCAUAUUUCCAAAAAAAUCAAAACUUUUAAUUUAUUACCAAAAAAUAACAAAUGGAAAUUAAUUUCAAAUUUCAUUACCGUAUCCAAAAUAAAUCUUUAAAUGAUUAAAAUAAUGGGUACGCGAAAAACGGUUUUUACGGAAAUACCCGGUUUUCAGGCAUUCCCGCGCUUAGUUUUGAAUCCCAACUUUUAGGCGGGGGACUGAAUUAAUUGACGUUAAUGGCCGGUCACACACGUCAAUAGACAUCUGUGUUCCCAUAUGGAAAUGUCGAGAUUGCCCGGUCAUUGUCCUCAUUGCCAUCUGGAGAAUCUUUUGUUUAGUAUCUACUUCUAUAGCUAUAGGAGUAAAUGACCAUGGAAGAAAUGAGGGACAAAUUCCAAACAGCAUUAAACAUAAUGGUCAGUAGUAAAAGAGAUGACAAUAAGUUUUUAUUGAAUAAAACUGAAUAUCAGCAAAAAAUCUUGGAUGUGAAGGCAGCUAAAAUAAUACUUAAAACACCAUCGUCGCCAAAGACCCAAUCUCAUUAUAGACUUGUUAGAAGGUAUGAUAUAUUAACCCAGGAUAAUCGAGAGAGGUUGAUACGACCAGCAGAUGACAGCAACCACCUACUGUAUUAUGUUACAAAUGAAGAAUUAUUUGACAUUUUAUACUCGACUCAUAUGGAACUAAAUCAUGGAGGGCGAAACAGGAUGGGAGCCGAACUAAAAACUAAAUAUUGUAACAUAACUAAAGAGGUUAUAAUGGUCUUUCUAAGGUUCUGUGGUCAUUGUCAAAAUAAAACUCCUAUAGGAGGAAGGAAGAAACCAGUGUCCAAGCCAGCCAUUCAUUCUAAAAAGUCCAGUGUUCAUGUUGAUUUAAUUGACAUGAAAACACACUCUUACAGUGGUUACCAAUUUAUUUUGGUCCAUCAAGAUAAAGCCACCAAAUUCAUACAUCUUAAAGCAUUGAAAUCCAAAGAAGUGGAUGAAAUUGUGAGACACUUGUUAGAUAUUUAUACCACUUUUGGAGCCCCAGCAAUAUUAAACUCUAAUCAGGGAAGAGAAUUUAUCAUUUCUAUAAUAACCGAGCUGCAGAGGCAAUGGAAGGAUAUAAAGAUGGUGCAUGGGAAACCCUUGCAUGGGCAUAGUGAAACUAUGUUAGAAACCAGAAAUAAAGAUUUGGAAGAGAUGACUGUGGCUUGGAUGAAGGAUAAUAAGACUCUGGAUUGGCCUUCGGGGAUUAAGUUUAUACAGUUUAGGAAGAAUUCUGCCUUUCAUACGGGCAUAAAACCUAGGGAAGGAGGAAGGUGAACAUUUUCUUACCCAUGUAAUGUUUUAUUUACAUUCAACUUCUCACUUGCUCUGAAUGUGGAAUGGGCAACCAAAGGAUGUAUGUAAGAUGAGUUCCAAAAGAAUUGCCUCCUGCAAUUUCCUGCUUGUGCUUUUUGAAGACCAGUUAUUGGUUCAAGCAUAUGUUAGCCAUCUAAGUAUUCAGUCACUUGGACACAAGAUUCAGGAACUUGAAUGUCUGGAUAAUGAGAUUAGUUCCUACUGUAGGUCAGCUGGCUCACCUGGUGGCGUCACAAUAUUUGUUAUGGAGUCAUUUUUCUACAAACUAAGUCUAGACUUUCUGGGGUUGUCAGUGACUGUCAGCUGUGGGGUUUCUGCCGUACAAUCUGAUGAGGUAUCGGUAAAUCACCUUAUGAAGCAAUGUUUGGAUCUCCAGCAGGACUGGGACUUCUAUCAACUCCCCAAAGUGAGACGUCUAUAAAAAGUGAUUCUGAGGAGGAGCUUAAUUCACUACUAAGCAGUGAAAAGGCGACCCCUCAAAGAAACGAGGAAAUCGUCAUGGAAAUCUCUCCAGAGACACUUAAAAAUUACUAUAUGCAAUGAAUUUGCAUAGAAAUAUGUUGUUUCUAUAGCGAAAACGCGAGAAGUGAUGGAUUUUCAAUAAAUCCAGUUAAAAGUCUAAAAUAUUGGGAAGAAUAUGGUGUAGGAAUGGCUAUUCUAUAUUUUCCUGAUAAGCAACAUUUCUUUGUAUAUAAGUUUGUCUGUGAUUAAACGGGAUGUUUUAUUCUUA
RNAcentral lists this unclassified non-coding RNA (2087 nucleotides) under Anthonomus grandis grandis. Its description in RNAcentral is "kRAB-A domain-containing protein 2-like". Lineage: Eukaryota; Metazoa; Arthropoda; Insecta; Coleoptera; Curculionidae. The record is from RNAcentral.